AGAGUUUGAUCAUGGCUCAGGAUUAACGCUAGCGGCAGGCCUAAUACAUGCAAGUCGAACGGCAGCGGGUGUAGCAAUACAUGCCGGCGAGUGGCGCACGGGUGCGUAACGCGUAUGCAAUCUACCUAUAACUGGGGAAUAGCCUUCCGAAAGGAAGAUUAAUACCGCAUAAUAUCACGAGGCGGCAUCGUUUUGUGAUCAAAACUCAGGUGGUUAUAGAUGAGCAUGCGUGACAUUAGCUAGUUGGUGAGGUAACGGCUCACCAAGGCGACGAUGUCUAGGGGGUCUGAGAGGAUGAUCCCCCACACUGGUACUGAGACACGGACCAGACUCCUACGGGAGGCAGCAGUAAGGAAUAUUGGACAAUGGCCGCAAGGCUGAUCCAGCCAUGCCGCGUGAAGGAUGAAGGUGCUCUGCAUUGUAAACUUCUUUUGUUCGGGAAUAAACCUCUGGUUUCUACCAGAGCUGAAUGUACCGAAAGAAUAAGGGACGGCUAACUUCGUGCCAGCAGCCGCGGUAAUACGAAGGUCCCAAGCGUUAUCCGGAUUUAUUGGGUUUAAAGGGUGCGUAGGCGGGUUUUUAAGUCAGUGGUGAAAGCCUACAGCUCAACUGUAGAAUUGCCAUUGAUACUGAAAGUCUUGAGUAUGGUUGAGGUGGGCGGAAUGUGUCAUGUAGCGGUGAAAUGCUUAGAUAUGACACAGAACACCGAUUGCGAAGGCAGCUCACUAAGCCAUAACUGACGCUGAUGCACGAAAGCGUGGGGAGCAAACAGGAUUAGAUACCCUGGUAGUCCACGCCCUAAACGAUGAUCACUCGAUGUGUGCGAUAUACAGUACGCGUCUGAGCGAAAGCAUUAAGUGAUCCACCUGGGGAGUACGACCGCAAGGUUGAACUCAUAGGAAUUGACGGGGGCCCGCACAAGCGAGAGCAUGUGGUUUGUUCGAUGAUACGCGAGACCCUUACCAGCCUGAGGUAGUGAAGGAUGUGAAACAUGUCGUCAGCAUGAACACCGAAACUAAGU
This 1021-nucleotide ribosomal RNA is filed under the name uncultured Bacteroidota bacterium. RNAcentral's name for it is "bacterial SSU rRNA". It matches the Rfam family "Bacterial small subunit ribosomal RNA", at positions 8 to 1039 of the family's 1533-position model. The record is from RNAcentral. Lineage: Bacteria; Pseudomonadati; Bacteroidota.